Molecule: long non-coding RNA, 540 nt
Organism: Puntigrus tetrazona (Sumatra barb)
Lineage: Eukaryota; Metazoa; Chordata; Actinopteri; Cypriniformes; Cyprinidae
Exons: 3
Source: RefSeq, a predicted model, not a curated record
CGUUUACACAGGAAAAAAAGCGCUUAUCUUAAUCAUUCAAUGUAGAUAUUUCAGGUUUGUAGCCUUAAUACACACUAAUAUUAUUUAUGGUGAUUGCUAAAGGAAAUAUCACUGGUAUUAUUGCACAAAUUUACCUCUAACAUUGACACUUUACUCAUCCCUUAAACACGGUGUCUUGCUAAAUCACGCUGUAGAAAAGAUGAUCAAAUGUGUGAGGUUUUCGGGUAGAUAUUAGAAGUAGAUGCUAAAAUUGGUGAAAUAUUGGUUAGAAUGAAUCUUUUGAAAUUUCUAUUUAUUUAUGCAUUUAUUUGUAUUUGUUUAUUUUAAUAUUGUGCUUUUGUUGUUUUUCAUUUUUUCCGUUUGUGAACGCAGGAACAAACCGAAGGUCUUCGCAUAUGAUUAUUGCUUCUGGUCGAUGGAUGAGGCUGAGGCAGCCAAAUUUGCGGGUCAGGAUGUGGUGUUUCAGUGUCUUGGAGAGAGUCUUUUGGACAGUGCUUUCCAAGGAUACAACGCUUGUAUAUUUGCAUAUGGGCAAACAGG